Oncorhynchus masou masou (cherry salmon) is the source of this 553-nucleotide long non-coding RNA. RefSeq lists it as uncharacterized. NCBI's taxonomy places the organism in Eukaryota, Metazoa, Chordata, Actinopteri, Salmoniformes, Salmonidae. The transcript has 3 exons. The record is from RefSeq and is a predicted model, not a curated record.
UAUCGUCUCACGUGUCUCUGCUCCAUCUCUCUCAUCUUUCACUAUGUCUGUCCAGCUAGUCGUAUCUCUCCUAGCUCUAGCUUCUCUGAAUGCUGCAUCUGCACCGCUCUGUAAAGAACUGGUCAAACCCCUGAUACUGGAGGACCAUACUGAGAUCUAUGGCAAAUGGGUGUGAUGGGGUCUGCGGAUCAUUCAGUCUUCCAAAAAGCUUUGGGGACUCUGAAAAGCUCCUGGAUUGACCUGUCGGCUACAUCUGACCAUCAAGUAGUCACACUACGUUGGGGAGACCGCAUUGAUGGCAAAUGCGUUGUCGGUGCAACAAAUGCUACCAUCUCCGACACCACCUCCACAGUUAACAGUAAGUGACCCGUGCUCUACUAGCCUGCUCGCCAGACCUGUCUGUGCUUUAGCCAACACCCUCUUCUGGCGUUAUGCCAAAUAGGACAUCAACAAAGGAGCGAGUUGGCUGAAGCAGAAACAAAUUUGGCAACCAGGCUUGUGCUCUACAUCUUAAUGAUGAAAUCAUUUAGCUGCUCAAUAAUAGGAACUUUAU